RNAcentral lists this long non-coding RNA (267 nucleotides) under Hordeum vulgare. RNAcentral's name for it is "long non-coding RNA (HVUL_LNC003321)". Lineage: Eukaryota; Viridiplantae; Streptophyta; Magnoliopsida; Poales; Poaceae. The record is from RNAcentral.
GUCUUUCUAUUUCUUGCAUUCUUGUUUGUUGCUUGGAAUUCACUUCUAUCUUGUCCAUCUCCGCUAUUUUUCUCUAAGUUCAGGUGAUGGUGCCUCUACCCCUCCUCGUUGCGUGAAUCCUGGCUGGGCUGGUGGUUCCAAGCGGUUCUGAUCAUGUGAAGUUGCCGAAGCCAGUGCCAGUUCCAAGCAACCUUAGCAACAGGUGAAGCGGAUUUUCGCAAGAAGGCUCCCAAAGGCCUUGAUGAGAUGGCGAAUGUUGAAUUUGUG